This 100-nucleotide ribosomal RNA is filed under the name human gut metagenome. The record is from RNAcentral.
AGCGGCGAGGGUCCACCCGUUCCCAUCCCGAACACGGAAGUUAAGCUCGCCAGCGCCGACAAUACUUGGCUGGAAGCGGCCCGGGAAGAUAGGUCGAUGC